UGUUCUCAGGGCAGGGUGAAAUUCCCUACCGGCGGUAUGCGGCGCGAGCCGCGAGCCCGCGAGCGCCUUCCGCGAGGAAGGGUCAAGCAGAUCAGGUGCGAGGCCUGAGCCGACGGUCAUAGUCCGGAUGAAAGAGAACG
This 140-nucleotide non-coding RNA is filed under the name uncultured Reyranella sp. Its description in RNAcentral is "FMN riboswitch (RFN element)". It matches the Rfam family "FMN riboswitch aptamer (RFN element)". From Rfam's summary of the family: The RFN element is a highly conserved domain that is found frequently in the 5'-untranslated regions of prokaryotic mRNAs that encode for flavin mononucleotide (FMN) biosynthesis and transport proteins. Lineage: Bacteria; Pseudomonadati; Pseudomonadota; Alphaproteobacteria; Hyphomicrobiales; Reyranellaceae. The record is from RNAcentral.